RNAcentral lists this unclassified non-coding RNA (448 nucleotides) under Zea mays. Its description in RNAcentral is "misc RNA Zm00001eb158230". Lineage: Eukaryota; Viridiplantae; Streptophyta; Magnoliopsida; Poales; Poaceae. The record is from RNAcentral.
CACCAAACCAACCAACCAACCUACACGAAGCGUUCUUCGGGUCGUUCCAUUCGGACAGUGGUUAGAAGGCUAGCAGCUGAAGAGGACGCCUAUCUACCCGACCUAACGCGCGUAGUAGCUGCGUACCGGCGGCGGUGGUCACGGUUCGGAAAACGAGAACGAGGUGAUUACGGAUGGAUGGAUGCUUCAGCUUUACGCACCGCGAGGAGAUGCGCAGACCGGUUCUCGAUCUCUCCGAUCAUGUCGCGCGUCGCCGCCGCGCCGCCGCCGCCUCCGUUCGCGGCCUCACUUGCUGUGCCGCUGCCGUCCCUCUUGGACUCCCGCCGCAUUAACGAGUGGUAGAACUCCACCACCUCGGGCACGCGCCUCACGUCGCCCUGCCCCGACGAUGCCCCUGCAGGCGGUGCUGGCGCGGCGCCGAACUGCCUCCUUGCCGGAGGGGGAGGCG